UGACAAUUAAACGAUCACGUAGUCCACGGUGACAGUCGAACAGAGUGUGGGGCACACGAGGGGGCUGAUGAUGUGCGCUUAUUCAAGCGAUGAAAUUCCACUUUAAUUCCUCAAUUCUCGCUAAGCGCGCUUUAACACAACGAGGGGGGCCGAAAAUAGUUUUCACUUUUCCUGCGGGCUGAAACGCUGUGUACACAAGGUUUAAACCAAUUAUCGGUGAAUUCGGCCACUUCGGGUUCCACGGUCUGCACGAAUGCGCGCGCGGUGGAACCAUACAGCAAAUCGAUCGAAAAGCAGAUAGCACGAAAAUUAAUUCUAUUCGAAAAGGAAAGGAGAAAAACACAGAGAGCGGAAAAAAAGUACAAUUAAACUACGUGUCGGAGGAAAAAAUGAAAAUAAAUUCGGUCUCUACGGAUCGCACACAUAUCGCGACGACAUGACUAAGCAUUUAAAAAUAGUAAACACAGUGUAACCAAAUCUACCCGAAAAAAAGCAACAUUUCGAUUCCGCGAGGCAGCGUUUGUACACUUCGUCUAUCGUCGUCUAUCGUGGCGAGUGUGACUGACUACACCGCAAGCAAAAAAGUGACCAACACAUGGACACGAUUUAUUCUAUCCGCCAGGUUCGUUGGUUGCUUUCUUCGACCGAUUAGCCCGACCGGGCCGUCACAAUCGGAUUUGGCCACUGCACUCUCACAAGGCCACAAAAGCAAGCGCAGUAGAUUCGACUGUGCUCUCGCAUAUUCACAAUUCCCACCAGCUUUCAAUUUAUUAGUCCAAUUACAACACCAAGCGGGAGCUCGUGAGCUGGUGGUAUUUCGUGCUGACAUCGCAUAUAAACUUCAACCGUUCGUCUCCGGUAUCGCACCAACGGAGUAUGUGUGCGAGAGUGAAUGUGAGAACGAGAGAGAGUGAAGCAGAGUUGAUUACUGAUAAGACGUCAACUUCGCAAUCGCGCGUUCGAAUACUAACGUGGCAAUCAACACAGUAGUAGGCUUCGCUAUAAAUGUCACUUUUUUCGGCUUACAAUCAACAGGUAGAGAGUAAAAUUCACUCGCCACAACUUGGCUAUCACUUACCUUCGUUCACGGCAAUGUCCAUCAACUGAAGAUCGUCGUCCAGGAUCGAGUUGAGGAAGCCAUCGGUGUGAUUCAUCUCUGAUGAUGCAUUCUGGAAAGAGUCGAACAGAGGGAAGUACGUUCAUUACUAUUUCGCUCUUGAUGGUUUGAGUUUAGUGUAUGAUUCGUAGAUUGGCGGUACGUAUGAGUUGUCACGUGGUACCGCUUUGUACCUUCUCUUCUUUUUCGGCUGAACCCAUGUAUUUUAUAUCGCUAAUAUUUACCAUGUUGUAGAAUAAGAACGAUCUACGUAAUAAUAUAAACACGGUCAUUUGAUGAAUCAUGGUGCGGACGUGGCAUAAUCGAGUUUGAAUUUGAACUUUCGCUUUGUUUACGAUCAUGAUUCAUUUAUAAAACUCACGCGUCAAUCUAAUAAGUAUAUCUCCAAAUCCAAGUUUAGAAAUUUUCGACUAUUUAUCGAAAAUAUUAUAUUGAAUUUCACUCGUUUCAUAUACAAAAAAUAAUUAUUUGAAAUUUUAUGGCAUUGACUUCAUUCUCACUUAUCGAUUUUGUGCCUAUCGUAGUUUCUGAAUGAGCACCGAGAAUUUCACCCAGUGCAUCAACAAAAGAAUUAAUUCUAUGUCCACAAAAGCUAGAGUCUCGAAUAAACUUGAACCAGCCAAGAUGAACGAUGUAGUCUUAUAUUGAUCUGAUCAAGUCCGUUACUUAGGACUGAUUUUUUAUAUGAAUCUUACUCUAAAAAGGUAUCAAAACCUUUAUAUAGACAGGUCAUAAUGAUGUCCAUGUACGUUUGAAUUACUGUUCGUAAUUCAUAAAUAUUUGUUUCUCACGACAGAAUUGUACUUGGACAGAAUUGUACUUGAAAUUUUGUUGGAAUUGUACUGCUUUGUGGAAAAAAACGUCAACGUACCGCUUGAGUGAGAAGUGCGAUAAGUGGCAUAAAACCACAAAACGGGGUCAUAGAACUGUACUGUCUAAGUAGAAAGAAGAAAAGAUUCUAACCUAGCUCAUCGACGUUUUUAUGUUCUUUGAUUUUUAAAAGUUGAAGAAUUUCCAUCUACUAGCCCUCGUCAUACUCCAUUUAAAAAUAAUCUUCCAGGUAAACCUAAACCCAUGUAAAAUAUACAAAAUCCUGUCUUCAAAGUUAUUCACUCUAGGCAAGAAAUGGUUUACGUCUCUCAUGGCCAGUUAUCUACAACUAUCCCUCCGUACCCCAGAAUGGGUUACGAUAGUGCAAGAGUUACCAAGGGUGAUGUAAGGAAAUGGUUCAACCAUGUUUCCUCGUGGUGGAUGGCCCGCGAGGGAAUAAAACAUAAUAUGUCCGACCCAAACCGCGUGUUUAAUGGUGGUGACAAGAUCCGCGAAGUAAUUGUGCAGCGUGGAUCUUCCGAAGCUUUUCCCUUUUCAUGCUGAUUAGGCCUAAGUGAGUGUGGUUGGAUGACUACUCCCAGUUCCAGAGAAUACAUCAAUCAUUUCUCUCAUGUGGUUACAGAAGAAGCAGAUUUAUGUUACAGUUGAGGAUAGUUUGAUCAUCCUGGAGAGAUUUUCAUGAUAAGAGAAUUCGGUCCUGUAUUGGAGAACGCAGUGAAAAAAGAGAUCCGACAAGGUAGUAGGUAUCACAAACGGCUUUCGUGUGUGCAGAAUAUACCCCUUCAACGUAGAUAACGUCGACUAUUCUACAGUUAAUGCAGUGAUUGACCGGCUAAAAACUAUCAACAUUUUCAACUAAUCAAACGGAAAUUCUCCUGAGCCCCAUAUUAGCCUCGACACGAUUCCAAAUGACCAAGAGAGGCAGGACAAUGCACACCACAUGAUUCAAUCGAAAGGAGACACAUUUUCGCCCAGAUCAGCCAUUUGUGAUGAAAUAAAAGGAUUAAAAAAAAUACAAAUUACCCUGGAGAACAUACAACAGAAAAAUUAUCAGAUCAGUCCCUCAUAAACCGAUACAGCCAUUGGGGGAGCUUACUAUUUCAACCAGUGAUGAUGUAUCCUUUAAUGGAAAUUGCCCUCAAGAAGAAAUUAUUGAAAUUUGAACGGUGUAGAACCAGCUCACUAUGGAGAAAACUACGAAUGACAAAAAAUUCAAUCAAUGACAGACAAUCUUCGUUAGUGUCAAUUCGAUAUGUAGCCAACUUGAGAAGUAAGACUAGAUGGACAAGCAUAUCAGAAUUUCUCAAGCUACCACCAAUACCACGGAGAAGCGGUAAAUAUCGGAAUCAUGUCAAGAAGUUCCAUCUAAUAUUAACUGCGGAUGAAAGAACUUCGAAAACUAGAAGAACCCUGUCUGAGCAAUGGCAACCCCUUUCCCGCAAAAGGGGGAGGAUCAUGUAUAGACAAAUUGAGUAUCGCUUACACUCUUGAUAUUACAUUGAACAGAUUUCAAAUAAGUUAAUCUAACGUCGAGAGAACCUAUUUUAAUAUUGUAGGGGAAUUGGAACAAAAUUGAUAUGUUGCUGACAUUUUAUGUCGAUCAGACACCAACCAAUCGAUUCCUGACACUUUUUUACUCGAUAUAAGAUAUAAUUUGACUACCACUUUUAGAUAUUAGCGCAUUACCAUUGAUGCUCAUACAUACUCGAUAUUAUUUUGCUUUGUGAAAUAUACUUAAACCAUGCCAAAACCGUUUUCGUAGAAUAACCGUUUUGAGCUCAGUUUUUGUACGAUUUAAGAACUUUUUUUUUAAAAGAUGGGUAAGAAGAUGCUUAUAUGUGGACAAACUCUUAGACUUUUGAUUUUUAGUCUUAAAACAAAAUGGCGUCGAAAAAACAACGAAAGUUUCCGAUUUCUCAAAAAUUCAUAAUGGCGCCAUUGUUGCCCCUUAAGUUGAAACUCGGGGAAAUUUGGUUUUGCAUCAAAAUACACGAAAAAAUCUAUGUAGACAGAAAAAAAGUCAUUUUUUGUUGCACUGUGUAAUUGAAGAAUUUGAUUGGAGCCGUGCAGAAGUGACAGAAAUAGCGAAAAAAUUUCAUGUCCCUCAAAGUACAGUUUAACGAUCCUGGAAAACCGUGAAAAAUGACAAGCAAAGUCUUAGAAUGGAAACCUUCAGAGAAAAAGAAUAAGAGCACUUGUCGAUGAUAGGCUAGACCGGCCUCUUUUGGAUUUCGUUAAACAUGCACACGAUAUUGGGAAUCGUCUGGUGGCAUUGCAGUCGUAGAGAUGCAGAUAUAGACUCGGCCUCGGUCCCAUUUAACCGGAAAAUGCUCGCGUGUGGUUUUAUAUAAGCGCCCCGUAAAUCGGAGUAGGUUUCGUUCGGUCGAUAAAUAUCGUGAUUAAUCUAAUGACUAUGGAAUGUAUACUUUUCAAAGAACCGUGUCCGCCGAAGUGCAUUGGCUCUCUCGAGGGAAAUCGUGAUUGCUAAUUGACAGAUAUUCAAACCCUUGAAUGAUUCUAGCGAUAGAUGGUCUUCGGGCACGCCGUUCACAUAAGUUC
Molecule: long non-coding RNA, 4507 nt
Organism: Wyeomyia smithii (pitcher-plant mosquito)
Lineage: Eukaryota; Metazoa; Arthropoda; Insecta; Diptera; Culicidae
Exons: 5
Source: RefSeq, a predicted model, not a curated record